This 497-nucleotide ribosomal RNA is filed under the name uncultured bacterium. RNAcentral's name for it is "partial 16S ribosomal RNA". It matches the Rfam family "Bacterial small subunit ribosomal RNA", at positions 28 to 507 of the family's 1533-position model. The record is from RNAcentral.
GAUGAACGCUGGCGGCGUGCCUAAUACAUGCAAGUCGAGCGAACGGACGAGAAGCUUGCUUCUCUGAUGUUAGCGGCGGACGGGUUAGUAACACGUGGAUAACCUACCUAUAAGACUGGGAUAACUUCGGGAAACCGGAGCUAAUACCGGAUAAUAUUUUGAACCGCAUGCUUCAAAAGUGAAAGACGGUCUUGCUGUCACUUAUAGAUGGAUCCGCGCUGCAUUAGCUAGUUGGUAAGGUAACGGCUUACCAAGGCAACGAUGCAUAGCCGACCUGAGAGGGUGAUCGGCCACACUGGAACUGAGACACGGUCCAGACUCCUACGGGAGGCAGCAGUAGGGAAUCUUCCGCAAUGGGCGAAAGCCUGACGGAGCAACGCCGCGUGAGGGAUGAAGGUCUUCGGAUCGUAAAACUCUGUUAGUAGGGAAGAACAUAUGUGUAAGUAACUGUGCACAUCUUGACGGUACCUAAUCAGAAAGCCACGGCUAACUACGUG